UGGGGAAUUUUGGACAAUGGGCGAAAGCCUGAUCCAGCAAUGCCGCGUGUGUGAAGAAGGCCUUCGGGUUGUAAAGCACUUUUGUCCGGAAAGAAAUCCUUGGCUCUAAUACAGUCGGGGGAUGACGGUACCGGAAGAAUAAGCACCGGCUAACUACGUGCCAGCAGCCGCGGUAAUACGUAGGGUGCAAGCGUUAAUCGGAAUUACUGGGCGUAAAGCGUGCGCAGGCGGUUUGCUAAGACCGAUGUGAAAUCCCCGGGCUCAACCUGGGAACUGCAUUGGUGACUGGCAGGCUAGAGUAUGGCAGAGGGGGGUAGAAUUCCACGUGUAGCAGUGAAAUGCGUAGAGAUGUGGAGGAAUACCGAUGGCGAAGGCAGCCCCCUGGGCCAAUACUGACGCUCAUGCACGAAAGCGUGGGGAGCAAACAGGAUUAGAUACCCUGGUAGUCCACGCCCUAAACGAUGCCAACUAGUUGUUGGGGAUUCAUUUUCCUUAGUAACGUAGCUAACGCGUGAAGUUGACCGCCUGGGGAGUACGGUCGCAAGAUUAAAACUCAAAGGAAUUGACGGGGUCAUAGCUGUUUCCU
RNAcentral lists this ribosomal RNA (586 nucleotides) under uncultured bacterium. RNAcentral describes it as "partial 16S ribosomal RNA". It matches the Rfam family "Bacterial small subunit ribosomal RNA", at positions 355 to 1375 of the family's 1533-position model. The record is from RNAcentral.